GAUUCAUAAUAACUAAACGAAUCGCAUGGCCUUGCGCCGGCGAUGGUUCAUUCAAAUUUCUGCCCUAUCAACUUUCGAUUGUAAGAUAGAGGCUUACAAUGGUCUUAACGGGUAACGGGGAAUUAGGGUUCUAUUCCGGAGAGGGAGCCUGAGAAACGGCUACCACAUCCAAGGAAGGCAGCAGGCGCGCAAAUUACCCAAUGCUGAUACAGCGAGGUAGUGACAAUAAAUACUGAUACGGGGCUCUCUCGGGUCUCGUAAUUGGAAUGAGUACAAUCUAAAUCCCUUAACGAGGAACAAUUGGAGGGCAAGUCUGGUGCCAGCAGCCGCGGUAAUUCCAGCUCCAAUAGCGUAUAUUAAAGUUGUUGCCGUUAAAAAGCUCGUAGUUGAACCUUGGACCUGGCUGAUCUGUCCUCCUAAUCGAGCGCACGGAUUCGGUCGGGUCUUUCCUUCUGGGGAGCCCUAUGCCCUUCACUGGGUGUAGUGGGGAACCAGGACUUUUAC
Molecule: ribosomal RNA, 504 nt
Filed under: uncultured fungus
Lineage: Eukaryota; Fungi
Description: SSU rRNA
Rfam family: Eukaryotic small subunit ribosomal RNA
Source: RNAcentral